Molecule: ribosomal RNA, 606 nt
Filed under: Fusarium subglutinans
Lineage: Eukaryota; Fungi; Ascomycota; Sordariomycetes; Hypocreales; Nectriaceae
Also listed under: 1 other name
Description: eukaryotic LSU rRNA
Rfam family: Eukaryotic large subunit ribosomal RNA
Source: RNAcentral
UUGACCUCGGAUCAGGUAGGAAUACCCGCUGAACUUAAGCAUAUCAAUAAGCGGAGGAAAAGAAACCAACAGGGAUUGCCCUAGUAACGGCGAGUGAAGCGGCAACAGCUCAAAUUUGAAAUCUGGCUCUCGGGCCCGAGUUGUAAUUUGUAGAGGAUACUUUUGAUGCGGUGCCUUCCGAGUUCCCUGGAACGGGACGCCAUAGAGGGUGAGAGCCCCGUCUGGUUGGAUGCCAAAUCUCUGUAAAGUUCCUUCGACGAGUCGAGUAGUUUGGGAAUGCUGCUCUAAAUGGGAGGUAUAUGUCUUCUAAAGCUAAAUACCGGCCAGAGACCGAUAGCGCACAAGUAGAGUGAUCGAAAGAUGAAAAGCACUUUGAAAAGAGAGUUAAAAAGUACGUGAAAUUGUUGAAAGGGAAGCGUUUAUGACCAGACUUGGGCUUGGUUAAUCAUCUGGGGUUCUCCCCAGUGCACUUUUCCAGUCCAGGCCAGCAUCAGUUUUCCCCGGGGGAUAAAGACUUCGGGAAUGUGGCUCUCUUCGGGGAGUGUUAUAGCCCGUUGUGUAAUACCCUGGGGGGGACUGAGGUUCGCGCAUCUGCAAGGAUGCGGC